This 253-nucleotide unclassified non-coding RNA is filed under the name uncultured bacterium. RNAcentral's name for it is "contains 16S-23S intergenic spacer region". It matches the Rfam family "Bacterial small subunit ribosomal RNA", at positions 524 to 776 of the family's 1533-position model. The record is from RNAcentral.
UACGAAGGGUGCAAGCGUUAUUCGGAUUAAUUGGGCGUAAAGGGUGCGUAGACGGUAUGUUAAGUCUGUUGUUAAAGACCCCGGCCUAACCGGGGAAAAGCGGUGGAUACUGAUGUACUUGAGGAUGGAAGAGAGAAGUGGAAUUCUUGGAGUAGCGGUAAAAUGCGUAGAUCUCAAGAGGAACACCGAUGGCGAAGGCAGCUUCUUGGUCCAUAUCUGACGUUGAGGCACGAAAGCGUGGGGAGCAAACAGG